RNAcentral lists this ribosomal RNA (417 nucleotides) under uncultured bacterium. Its description in RNAcentral is "bacterial SSU rRNA". It matches the Rfam family "Bacterial small subunit ribosomal RNA", at positions 362 to 776 of the family's 1533-position model. The record is from RNAcentral.
UAUUGGUCAAUGGGCGCAAGCCUGAACCAGCCAUCCCGCGUGAAGGAAGAAGGCGCUAUGCGUUGUAAACUUCUUUUGCAGGUCAAGAAUGUUUCGCACGUGUGCGGAAUUGACGGUAACCUGUGAAUAAGCAUCGGCUAACUCCGUGCCAGCAGCCGCGGUAAUACGGAGGAUGCGAGCGUUAUCCGGAUUUAUUGGGUUUAAAGGGUGCGUAGGCGGAUUGAUAAGUCAGUGGUGAAAUCCUGCAGCUUAACUGUAGCAUUGCCGUUGAUACUGUCAGUCUUGAGUAUGGUUAAGGUAGGCGGAAUGUGUAAUGUAGCGGUGAAAUGCUUAGAUAUUACACAGAACACCGAUUGCGAAGGCAGCUUACUGAACCAUAACUGACGCUGAGGCACGAAAGCGUGGGGAGCGAACAGG